AGUGAACGCUGGCGGUAGGCCUAACACAUGCAAGUCGAACGGCAGCACAGUAAGAGCUUGCUCUUACGGGUGGCGAGUGGCGGACGGGUGAGGAAUACAUCGGAAUCUACUUUUUCGUGGGGGAUAACGUAGGGAGACUUACGCUAAUACCGCAUACGACCUACGGGUGAAAGCAGGGGAUCUUCGGACCUUGCGCGAUUGAAUGAGCCGAUGUCGGAUUAGCUAGUUGGCGGGGUAAAGGCCCACCAAGGCGACGAUCCGUAGCUGGUCUGAGAGGAUGAUCAGCCACACUGGAACUGAGACACGGUCCAGACUCCUACGGGAGGCAGCAGUGGGGAAUAUUGGACAAUGGGCGCAAGCCUGAUCCUGCCAUACCGCGUGGGUGAAGAAGGCCUUCGGGUUGUAAAGCCCUUUUGUUGGGAAAGAAAAGCAGCAGGUUAAUACCCCGCUGUUCUGACGGUACCCAAAGAAUAAGCACCGGCUAACUUCGUG
RNAcentral lists this ribosomal RNA (492 nucleotides) under uncultured bacterium. RNAcentral's name for it is "partial 16S ribosomal RNA". It matches the Rfam family "Bacterial small subunit ribosomal RNA", at positions 29 to 507 of the family's 1533-position model. The record is from RNAcentral.